UUCUUACUGAGUGCAGAUGUGCUGACUAUCGCAAGCAUUGACAGACUGCUCUCAGCCCUAGUAGUAAGGAAAAUAAAGGUCUCAGCACUUAGCCCAUGAUGACCGUUUUGCAGAAAUAGAACGCCAAGCAAGAAGAACGAAGCCUGCAGGAGUACAAGGAGGAAAUGAAAGUUGCCGUACCGACAGGGCUACACAAAUCCCGCGAUGGGUGGAUUAGGCUGAGCGUUAUCAGUGAUGAUGAAACACAGCAGACUGUGCACCUUUUGCGAUAUGAGGCAUCGCAGGGGCAGGAACAAAGCGGGAGCCAGGUGAGACUGCUGGAGAGACAAAGGGUUCCCUCUGUGCCACAGGACUCCUCGCACUGAAGUGGAUAUUGCCAUUUGCUGUGAGUGCCUGGUCAUUACCAUUCCUUGUCCUUUAUUACGUGGAGGGGUCUCGUAGGGCUCUCAUGAACUUCCUCAGAAGUGUGUCCCAGCUUCCCUACGGCACUGCUUGAAUGGAGCGUGACAGCACUUGUCAGCAGAGCAGUUGUGGAG
This is a long non-coding RNA of Gallus gallus (chicken), 536 nucleotides long. The record is from Ensembl. NCBI's taxonomy places the organism in Eukaryota, Metazoa, Chordata, Aves, Galliformes, Phasianidae.